Long non-coding RNA from Cryptomeria japonica (Japanese cedar), 1149 nucleotides. RefSeq lists it as uncharacterized. The record is from RefSeq and is a predicted model, not a curated record. NCBI's taxonomy places the organism in Eukaryota, Viridiplantae, Streptophyta, Pinopsida, Cupressales, Cupressaceae. The transcript is spliced from 4 exons.
UGACGGUAGGGCAAUAGGCGGGAAAUGAAUUUUUGGUAUGUAAUUUCAUUUUUUUUUCCAUUGUCUCAUUUUCUUGCUCAUUGUAGGGUUUUGUAAAUGUUGUCACAGAAUGCGAAUGUCUUCUCUUCUUCUGCUCCUCGAAAGACAUUUGUUGUGUCGACUCCCAGUGAGCCCAGGAAGAUUGCCAUGUAUUCACCGGCUUUCUUUGCGGCCUGUGCAAUGGGAGGCAUUCUCAGUUGUGGUCUCACUCACACUGGCGUACCCUUCUUGAUCUUGUCAAAUGUAAUAUGCAGUAAUAAAUUCCCUUUUGGGUGGAGAGUGGAGGAAGAAUGAUGAAUGUCGGUUGCAUCAAAUUCCAUCUUGGCCAACUUCUCAUGCAGCUAUAUGAAUACACCCAUCAUCCAGUUUUAGUGGCAUGGAAAUACUUUAUUCCUUUACAGCAUGCAGGUUACAGUUAACAGUUCCUAACAUCUUCGAGUGUCUACAAGCACAGCCAGAGGAGAACAUAAACUGUGGUUGUGGAAUCUGGUUUUACACCUGCCAAUUGCAUUUGCUUGGAAGUCUCUAAAGCUUUUUCAACAAGUCCAUUUUGUGCACAUCUUACAAUCAUUGCAGUCCUUGAGACCACAUUUAUUUCAGGGAUACCAUUGUGCCCUGUCUUCUUCCACAUUUUGCAAGCAUGUCUUCCAGAACAGUUGCAACUGCAGCAUAUGACAAAAAUCUUCUAUCCUUUAUGCUUUGAUGGAUGUCCAUACCUUGUUUCAGAGCUCCCAUUUGGCAUGAACAGAGAGGAUUUUAGCAAAGGUUGUGAAAUUUGGCUUUACACCUAUCAAGUGCACUUUCUUGAAAGUUUCUAAAGCCUUUUCAAACAGCUCAAGGAACAGCAAGAUCAACAUGUAAAUUUGGCUCGUAUAAAGUUGGAAAUUGUUGAAAAGGAAGAGAAGCAUGUAUUACAAAGUGAUUUCAGAUGCCAAAAUAUAAAUGAAUCAAUGCUGGCACAGCAUAUAGAAGACUUGGCAAUUAUAAACCUAAAUUUUGUAUCAUCAUACUUGUUUAAUGAAUACUUGUCAAUUUAUUCACUCUCAAGCUCUUCCUUAAGAACAUGAGUUCUUGGUUGUUUCUUAAAUAAUUAUCAAUUUUUUAUAGCAA